Molecule: ribosomal RNA, 464 nt
Filed under: uncultured bacterium
Lineage: Bacteria
Description: partial 16S ribosomal RNA
Rfam family: Bacterial small subunit ribosomal RNA
Source: RNAcentral
ACGCACGCUGGCGGCGUGCUUAACACAUGCAAGUCGAACGGAAAGGCCCUGCUUGCCGGGUACUCGAGUGGCGAACGGGUGAGUAACACGUGGGUGAUCUGCCCUGCACUUCGGGAUAAGCCUGGGAAACUGGGUCUAAUACCGGAUAUGACCUUCCAUGUAGUGUGGGGGGUGGAAAGAUUUAUCGGUGUGGGAUGAGCCCGCGGCCUAUCAGCUUGUUGGUGGGGUAAUGGCCUACCAAGGCGUCGACGGGUAGCCGGCCUGAGAGGGUGGACGGCCACAUUGGGACUGAGAUACAGCCCAGACUCCUACGGGAGGCAGCAGUGGGGAAUAUUGCACAAUGGGCGGAAGCCUGAUGCAGCGACGCCGCGUGGGGGAUGACGGCCUUCGGGUUGUAAACCUCUUUCGGCAGGGACGAAGCUUCGGUGACGGUACCUGUAUAAGAAGCACCGGCUAACUACGUG